UACGGAGGAUGCGAGCGUUAUCCGGAUUUAUUGGGUUUAAAGGGUGCGUAGGCGGUCCGUUAAGUCAGCGGUAAAAUUGAGAGGCUCAACCUCUUCGAGCCGUUGAAACUGGUUUUCUUGAGUGAGCGAGAAGUACGCGGAAUGCGCGGUGUAGCGGUGAAAUGCAUAGAUAUCGCGCAGAACUCCGAUUGCGAAGGCAGCGUACCGGCGCCACACUGACGCUGAGGCACGAAAGCGUGGGGAUCGAACAGG
RNAcentral lists this ribosomal RNA (252 nucleotides) under uncultured Bacteroidales bacterium. RNAcentral describes it as "partial 16S ribosomal RNA". It matches the Rfam family "Bacterial small subunit ribosomal RNA", at positions 524 to 776 of the family's 1533-position model. The record is from RNAcentral. Lineage: Bacteria; Pseudomonadati; Bacteroidota; Bacteroidia; Bacteroidales.